AUUGAACGCUGGCGGCAUGCCUUACACAUGCAAGUCGAACGGUAACGGGCCUUCGGGUGCCGACGAGUGGCGAGCGGGUGAGUAAUACAUCGGAACGUGCCCGAUCGUGGGGGAUAACGAGGCGAAAGCUUUGCUAAUACCGCAUACGAUCUACGGAUGAAAGCAGGGGACCGCAAGGCCUUGCGCGGACGGAGCGGCCGAUGGCAGAUUAGGUAGUUGGUGGGAUAAAAGCUUACCAAGCCGACGAUCUGUAGCUGGUCUGAGAGGAUGAUCAGCCACACUGGGACUGAGACACGGCCCAGACUCCUACGGGAGGCAGCAGUGGGGAAUUUUGGACAAUGGGCGCAAGCCUGAUCCAGCCAUGCCGCGUGCAGGAUGAAGGCCUUCGGGUUGUAAACUGCUUUUGUACGGAACGAAAAGCCUUCUUUUAAUACAGGAGGGUCAUGGCGGUACCGUAAGAAUAAGCACCGGCUAACUACGUG
This 482-nucleotide ribosomal RNA is filed under the name uncultured bacterium. RNAcentral's name for it is "partial 16S ribosomal RNA". It matches the Rfam family "Bacterial small subunit ribosomal RNA", at positions 30 to 507 of the family's 1533-position model. The record is from RNAcentral.